RNAcentral lists this ribosomal RNA (381 nucleotides) under Triticum aestivum (bread wheat). Its description in RNAcentral is "partial small subunit ribosomal RNA". The record is from RNAcentral. Lineage: Eukaryota; Viridiplantae; Streptophyta; Magnoliopsida; Poales; Poaceae.
AUGAGGAAAAGCUUCCACAUUGACAGCAACAGUUGUGUUCUCUGUGAGGGUGAACCCAAUGAACAUCUUCUCCACUUAUUUUUCAGGUGUGACUUUAGCCAAAUUUUUUGGCUUGCCAUUGGAUUCCAAUGGAACACAGACCUUGAUCUUGCUGAUAUUCUUAUGGAUGGUAAGAAGAAGAAUAAUGUAUGUUGUUUCAAAGAAUGUUUAAUUGCAGGAUGCUGGAGCCUUUGGAAGCAUAGAAACAACAUCAUAUUUGAUUAUCAUGACAGAAGCAUCACCCACUGUAUUGCUAGUUUCAAGGAGCACUGCCAUAUGAUCAUCAAAAAGGCUAGAACUAGCUUGAAAGAGGGGAUGCAAUCAUGGCUAGAUUGUUUGUAA